Molecule: long non-coding RNA, 2973 nt
Organism: Amphiprion ocellaris (clown anemonefish)
Lineage: Eukaryota; Metazoa; Chordata; Actinopteri; Pomacentridae
Source: Ensembl
AUAUUUGGCAGCAGCCGCAGCCGUGAACUACAUAUACCAUCAUGCCUUGCGCGCUUACGUUUGCUGAAAGCAGCAUGUGCUUCGCUGCUCCGCUCCAACUAUGGCUCAGUGAGGCUGCGGCUCUUCUCAGGAUGGUGUCGUAUCGGCAGAGGCGCUCUUUGGAGCUACAGCAGAGACUAUCAUCGCACUGGACCAGAGGGAGGAACCGGCAUCUUUUUGUUCCUUACUGGAAAUAUUCAUAAUCUGCUUGAUUUGCCAAACCCAGUUUUUGGCACGGAUUCUUUUAAUUUACAAAGAGGAUUAAAUUGUAACGUUACAACGCGGACACACGUGGAUUGAUACUAUCAUUUUGCUUUAACCUGAUCAUGAGGGCAACAGCCGAGGGACUUAAAACUGUAGCUAUGGCUCGUCCUGUAGGUAUCAGGGAAAACUGUCCUGUCCGGGAUGAGUGGCGUCUGUUACUGCCACAGUCCUCCUGCUGGACAAGUCGGUCGACUCUCCUGGGAUAACUUGGGAUACACGCGUUGUCAACACUGUCAGAGGUGGUCAGUGUCAUAUGCUUUUGGAAAUGUAUUCUUUUGGAUUUUGGCACAAGGAAAAGGAUACCCUGGAAUAAAUUUUGGAAGCUGUGCUCCGUAGAUGUCCAGUGAUUUGGAUAAUAUGAAUACGCAUCUCCUGACCCAGCAGAUUAUCUCCAGUGAGCAACAAGAAGAGGCUGACUAAUGGAAACAUGAUCUCAAGAGAUUCAACAGGUAGGGACGACUUUGGUUUUUGUUUGAUCUUCAUUCUGUGGAAUAUGUGAUCACACACAGCACAGUCUUAGGACAGUUGCUGUAAACAACCAAAAUAUGCUACGUUCACUGAUCAAACAGAGGUAGCAGUGGCAGUUCACAUAUAUAAAAGACAUGAUCAGGGUGGUGGCACUGGAUUUUUGCCUAUAUUCGUGCUUUUUUUAAAAAUUAUGUAACCCAAGUCAUGACAGUACAGUAAAAAAUGCAGUGGCACAGAGGUAUCACUUCAAACACAGCUUCUCUUGGGAGCCUCAGAUCCUUUCAUUGGUGCUGAAUGAAGAUAUGCUUUGAUGGCCCACCACAGAGUCGUGGCCUUCAAAGAAACUCAUUGACUGAAUUGUGCAGGGCCGCCAGCAGGCUGAAUGAGCGCCACUGUAUAAGUGCACCUCUCAGGGUAGUCGUGGGUGUUCCCAGUGGAGGUCAAACAUGCUUGACCCCAACAUGAGUACUAAUUUUCUAUAGAUUUUAGGUUUGCAUUUCUCUUCUUUUCUUUCCUUCUGCCUGGUUCUAUUACUAAAUGACGGGGAGCUGUGUGCGGAUGGCAGGGUGCCAGCAGACAGGUACUGUAGAUGUGAUGAUGAGGGAGUGUGAUAGAGGCUGGCCUCAGUUGCAUCCCCAGGCAAAGACAGACAUACACAGGCAGGCUGAGACUCAGAGGCAGGUUGGGGCCUGGUUUUGUAUGCUGAUGCUGCUCUGCUGGCUCUGCUCCAAGGUGAGGCAUAGGCGAGAAACGUGGGAAGGGAAAAACCAGAAUGGUGGCCAAAAGUAAAGAUACAGAAAACACACAACCACAAAUGAGGAUAGAUUAUAGCAUAGAGUGUUAACAAAAAACAAGACAGUGUUUGUAGCUUAUGCUCCAGGAAACAAACUGAAAAGAGAUGAUGACGUGAAGCCCUGAGGAGAGAGAGGGAAAUGCAGGAGGAGAGAUAUGAAGAAAGAGUGCGGCCACUUCCUGUACGCUGGUAGAACGUGACUCCACACAGGAUCACACCAAAUCCAAGUUUGGAUGGUGGACCAGCAUCCCCACAGCAGAUGUUUGCUCCUGGCAUGGCUGCUGACAGUAUGAGCUCCAUCACUGACAGUCUAGCUCUCAGGAUCCAGCCAGCAGCUUGAACUUGGAGGAGCCAUGACAUAAACUCACCAGGAUAGCAAAGCAUAUUCCGCUGCUCAGGCAUCAUGGAACAUAUCAGUCAACCUCUUCUGGAAAGGUGCUCAAGAGAGGAGUCAACUUGAUGAAUGAGCAUUUACUGUAGCUACCAUGACGGUCUACAUACUGUUUAACUAUUUUCUAAAUUGAAACUGGAUUAGUAUUUUCCCGUGCAUACAUCUGCUCUUGAUUUUCAAUAUUUACUGACACUGUUGCUCAUAUACUGUAGCUGUGAUUUUUACUGUGUUAUUCUAAAUACAGCAUCAAUAGUUUUUUUGGAUUUCAUUUUCUGGACUAUUUUUACUACUUUGAAGGCUAUUCUUUGCUUAACAUUUCAGGUUGAUCGAAUGAGGAUACAUAUCUCCUAUGCAUGUGAUCAAAAUGCCUCAGAAAAAUUACUCUGCCAAGACAAUGGAACAUUUCAAAGAAGCCAUUGUCAUCAUGGUCUUGAUAAAUGUAAAACAAAAUCUCUUUUAAUGACAACGCAUUUUGUUUUGACACAUUGGCAGCGUGUCUUAAUUCUGGUUCAUAAUCCUGUCAAGUUGUCGACUCUCAUUAUGAUUUAUUGCUCCAACAUUUGUGUUGUGUCUGUGAAACCUUGUUAGCAGAAAUAAAGAGGUGUAUCCAAGCUGCUGUCUGUUUUAUCAUUGCAUCUGCAGCUCUGUGAGAUGAGUAACCGAUAAGAUGGUUUCAUGAUGUUAUCUGUGUCAACUGUUACUGUUCGUCAAGCUGGUUUCAUUACUAGUUAGUUACUAUGUGCCAAUCUGGUAUUAGGGGAUUAGCUAGAGUUGUAUCACUCUUUUAUUUUUCUUUUGGGUUUAGACAGUGAAUAAAAGUGAAGUGAAAAUGGAAAACCAUGACAUUUAAAUGUUGAUAAAUUGAAAUGUUUUAGGAAAUCACAAGGUUUUGCUUGACUAAUUCAAUGUGAAUAAUAAGGACAAUGUUCAAGAGAUUAAAAAUGCAUUGUGCAAAAACCAAAUUCAUUAUAAUCACAAGCACUUUUGUAGUUUUAACACAUGACAUCAUAGAAAUUAG